Molecule: transfer RNA, 73 nt
Filed under: Citharinus congicus (Congo citharin)
Lineage: Eukaryota; Metazoa; Chordata; Actinopteri; Characiformes; Citharinidae
Description: tRNA-Asp
Rfam family: tRNA
About the family: Transfer RNA (tRNA) molecules are approximately 80 nucleotides in length. Their secondary structure includes four short double-helical elements and three loops (D, anti-codon, and T loops).
Source: RNAcentral
AAGACACUAGUAAAACUGUCCAUUACAUUACCUUGUCAAGGUAAAAUUGCGAGUUAAAACCUCGCGUGUCUUG